Molecule: ribosomal RNA, 544 nt
Filed under: uncultured soil bacterium
Lineage: Bacteria
Description: bacterial SSU rRNA
Rfam family: Bacterial small subunit ribosomal RNA
Source: RNAcentral
AUGCAAGUCGAGCGCCCCUCCUUCAAGCGAGCUUGGAGGAUUGAGAUCGAGCGAAGCCGAAGGGCUCGCUUGAUGGAGGGGAGCGGCAGACGGGAGAGUAACACGUGGGAACGUACCCUUUGGUUCGGAACAACCCAGGGAAACUUGGGCUAAUACCGGAUAAGCCCUUACGGGGAAAGAUUUAUCGCCGAAGGAUCGGCCCGCGUCUGAUUAGCUAGUUGGUGGGGUAAUGGCCCACCAAGGCGACGAUCAGUAGCUGGUCUGAGAGGAUGAUCAGCCUCACUGGGACUGAGACACGGCCCAGACUCCUACGGGAGGCAGCAGUGGGGAAUAUUGGACAAUGGGCGCAAGCCUGAUCCAGCCAUGCCGCGUGGGUGAUGAAGGCCCUAGGGUUGUAAAGCCCUUUCGGCGGGGAAGAUAAUGACGGUACCCGCAGAAGAAGCCCCGGCUAACUUCGUGCCAGCAGCCGCGGUAAUACGAAGGGGGCUAGCGUUGCUCGGAAUCACUGGGCGUAAAGCGCACGUAGGCGGAUUGUUAAGUCAGG